Podarcis lilfordi (Lilford's wall lizard) is the source of this 75-nucleotide non-coding RNA. The record is from the annotation of a GenBank genome assembly. Lineage: Eukaryota; Metazoa; Chordata; Lepidosauria; Squamata; Lacertidae.
GGACAGGCCAUAGCUCAGUGGUAAAGGCCAUGUUUUGCAUGCAGAAGGUUCCAGGUUCAAUCCCUGCUGUUUCCA